This is an RNA transcript of Solenopsis invicta (red fire ant), 1836 nucleotides long. It is a transcript of the gene named putative nuclease HARBI1, with no coding region annotated. The record is from RefSeq and is a predicted model, not a curated record. NCBI's taxonomy places the organism in Eukaryota, Metazoa, Arthropoda, Insecta, Hymenoptera, Formicidae. The transcript has 4 exons.
AAAACUUUGUUUAACUUGAAUCUUGAUUCUCAAUAAUUGUUCUUUUAAAUGGCUUGUACUUCUUUUUUAAAAGAACGUUUUUAAACAUUUACUGACCGAAGAAAUUAAAACUUUUUAAAUUAUGGCGACAUAAUGUAAUUAUUUUAAAGUACUUUUAAAUUGUAAUGAGACACUGAAGAUGACUCAAUAGUGGGAUUAAAACGUUUAUAACAUUUUACAUUAAUUGUUUAUAAAUGUAUACAUUAGCAUAUACACGCAUAAUUAUCUAACUCAUAUCGUUCCUAGUUUAUUCAUUUUCAAAAUUGAAGUAUUCAUUUUUAUAUAUUAGGAAGUGACUCAGAAUUUACUCCGGAAAAGUAUAUCAUAAUGAAUAAUUCUGAUCUGAUAUUGUUAAUAAUACGAAAGCGAUGGCAAAAGUGGAAGAAGAUAAAGCAAACACUUCAACAACAAAGAGUUAGACGACGUUACAUAUUGCGAUUGUUUGUAAUAUGGAAACUAAUGAUAUCUCAAGAGAAAGAAGCUCGUCAUAGAAUAUGGGUACGCCCAAUAUUCUCAGAAAGACAAAGAUUGUUACAAGGUGACAGUGACAAUCUGGUUAAUGAAAUGGAAAUUAUAGAUCAUGAAAUGUUCUACAAUUAUUGUAGAAUGUCUACAGAGAUGUUCGAUCAAUUAUUAGAUAUUGUUGAGCCACGCAUUGCAAAACAGAAUGUCAUUCGAGAGCCAAUACCAGCCCGUACCCGGCUUUUAAUAUGUCUGCGUUAUUUAGCCUCUGGAGACAGUAUGAGUUCAAUAGCUUUUUCUUUUCGAAUUGGAAUAAACACUGUCUCAAAGAUUAUUUCAGAGACAUGUGAGGAAUUGUGGAACAUUCUUCACGAAUCAGUUUUUCCUGAAAUAAACGAAAAGACUUGGUUAAAAAUUGCGAAUGAUUUUGCAAUAAAGUGGGAUUUUCCGCAUUGCGUAGGGGAUAGACGGGAUGCGAUAGAUGGAAAACAAGUACAAAUUCAGUCACCUCCUCAUAGUGGUUCAACUUUUUAUAACUACAAGGGCAAUCAUAGUAUUAAUUUAUUAGCAGUUUGUGAUGCCAAUUAUUGUUUCACAUUAGUUGACAUUGGUGCGGAAGGCAGACAGAGCGACAGUGGAAUUUUUGCACAUUCAAAUUUUGGUCAACGAUUCGAAAGAAACCAAAUGAAUUUACCACAACCAAGAUCAAUCGAAGCUUCUGGGGCUGAAUUACCGUUUGUGUUAGUAGCGGAUGAGGCAUUCGCUUUGAGGCUGACUCAUUACAUGAUGCAACCAUAUCCACGAAGCGGACGUUUAAAUCGUCAAAGAAAGGUAUUCAACUAUCGUCUCAGUCGAGCGCGAAGAAUGAUAGAAAGUGCAUUUGGCAUUUUGGUAGCGAAAUAACGAAUUUAUCGUCGACCGAUAAUCGCAACUGUUUCCAUCACAGUUAAAAUUAUUCAAGCAACCGUAUGCUUGCACAAUUUCAUAAUUCAAAAUGAACACAAAUUUCCAUUCUCCAAAAGGCGCUAUACAUGUAUAGCUGAAAAAGAAGCCGUAAUAAACAAUGCAUUGCAAGAAAUAGAUAAUGCUGGUAGAAUAAAUGUUAACGCUUGAUUUGUUUCUAAAAUCCAGAAUGACUUCGCUUCAUACUUCGAAAAUACUGGAGCAGUACCUUGGCAGUGGGAAAAGGUUUUACUUAAUGAUUUUUAAUUGAAAAAAAUUCAGAUUUCAGGAGUUACAAAAAAAAUGCCAUGAUUGCCACAGGAUACCACGAUUGCACAACAGAAAAAUAAAGAAUAAUACACAUAUGUUCCUGGCGUUUCUAAGAAAGGGAGA